UAUCGCUUUUGGCAAGUGGCCACUCAGAGUACUAUGGGCUUAGGCGCGUGCCCGCUUCGACCGAAUGGUUUCUUUUCCUUUGUCUGUAUAUCUAAACGCAGAUUCCCGGUCAGAAUAUUAUCGCUUUUUUAUGAGAAAAAUUGCAUAAAAAUUGAUUUUAAACAGCGGUUGACAUGCUUCGAAGUACGGUAAUGGAAUAUUUAGAAUUAUUUUGUCACGAAUUGCGCCAUGCUCGUCACCCUUAUUUAGCCUUUAGGAUAGUGUCUAGAACGCACGAACAAAACGCCGCUGUUUGGAUAUAACGAUGGAUUAUUUUGGACCAAACCAACAUUUGUUAUUGAAGUAGAAGUCCUGGGAGUGCAUUCUGACGAAGACAACAAAGACACAAGAUGUCCGUAACCCGGCCUAGUUCUCUACAGCUUCUGUGAGUGCUCCUACCCAUGCUAUGGCCUCUUUGUCUUCGUCUUCUGACGAUAAUGCGAAAUCGUCAUCAGAAAAUGUGGACCAAAACGCAGCAGGAGAGCUGAUUGGUGUGUGAACUACCUGCUCAGGCAGACUGGGAAAGCCAUGCAGGACAUGAACCCCAACUCGGAGGAUACUGAUUCAAUGAAAUUACGUUGGACCAACAUGGAAUAGAUGUUGAAUUGACGUCUGUGUCCAGUGGGCUAUUAUCCCUACCACGUUAGAAGUUCAAAAUGGCAAUAGAAAUGGUAGGCUAUUGCAUAAUUUUCAUAUUAUUUUGGAUGGAGGGAUUUAAAGCCUAACAGUCUAAUCUGGAGUAGGGCCUAUAGCCUAUUUGUAACACGGCUGCAUGGGAUUUGUCAGAUAUAAAGACGGGUGGUUUCCUUGCAUUGAAGGGCAGUGUAGGAAAUAAGGUAACACAAGGAGCCGCUUGUAGAUUUGACAGCUCUAAUGCAUUUCCACCUCCGACACCUCCAAAACAACCGCUAUGUGGUUGUGUUGUGCUAUUCACUGAGUUGUCAUACGCACUCAUUACCUUGGGCCCCUAGGGGUUGUGUGUGUGUGUGUGUGUGUGUGUGUGUGUGUGUGUGUGUGUGUGUGUGUGUGUGUGUGUGUGUGUGUGUGUGUGUGUAUGUGUGUGUGUGUGUGUGUGUGUGUAACGUUUCACAUAAUAAACAUGUUUCUAUAUUUCAGCCACUUCUUUGAAUUAGUAGAUUGUAGUGUGGCUCUGAGUAAAUUGUCAUACAUCCCACUGGGCACACACAGGUUAAAUCAACAUUGUUUCCACAUUGAAUUGCCAUCUGUGCCCAGUGGGAUGUGAUGUAUUUAUAAUUAUAUCAGGUAAUAUGCAGUCCACAAGAAUCCACAACAGAUAACUGAUCAUUUAAGAUACUAAUUGUAUAAACAAGGUAACGGGGGUAUAGUACAGUAAUAAACCAAGCUCAUUAGAACAACAGUUCUAUAUGUUAUGAUUAUACUAUCAUAAUCGUUCCAUUAACUCAGGUGAUCUUAAAUUCACCAAUGUGAAAAAUAAUAGCGCUGUUGGAAACUAUAGUGUUUGUUUAGAAAUUCUAUUUUGGGGAUUUGAACUGGGGACCUUCGGGUCCACUCUCCUUCCUCAAACACAGGAAAAGGCAGCAUUUUCAUUGUUUUUCAGCUUAUCAUAAUAAAUAAUGAAUAAUAAACACUUAUGAAGAAGAACACCACAUUUUCCCCCUUCUGUUUUCAAUUUUUUCUAAAAUGUUCCAAUGUUUUUCCUCCCUUUUUUUCUCCCUUCCCCUUCUUCCCCCAUCUUAACAUACUAUUGUUCCCCAGCUUUGGCACUUGAAAUGAC
Molecule: long non-coding RNA, 1795 nt
Filed under: Salmo salar (Atlantic salmon)
Lineage: Eukaryota; Metazoa; Chordata; Actinopteri; Salmoniformes; Salmonidae
Description: lncRNA (ENSSSAG00000119534.1)
Source: RNAcentral